GGGGGGGGGGGGGGGGGGGGGGGGGGGGGGGGGGGCGGGCGGGGGGGCGGGGGGGGGGGUGCUCUGAUGUUGGCGGCGGACGGGUGAGGCACACGUGGGUAAGCUACCUCGCAGCCUGGGAUGACUUCGGUAAACCGGCGCUAAUACCGGCCACUAUUUUGAACCGCAUGUUUCCAAAGUGAAAUCCGGUCGUGCUGUCACUCAUAGCUUGAUCCGCGCUGCAUUCGCUAGUUGGCAAGGUAACGGCUUACCAAGGCACCGAUGCAUAGCCGACCGGCGAGGGUGAUCGGCGACACUGGAACUGAGACACGGUCCAGACUCCUACGGGAGGCAGCAGUAGGGAAUCUUCCGCAAUGGGCGAAAGCCUGACGGAGCAACGCCGCGUGAGUGAUGAAGGUCUUCGGAUCGUAAAACUCUGUUAUUAGGGAAGAACAUAUGUGUAAGUAACUGUGCACAUCUUGACGGUACCUAAUCAGAAAGCCACGGCUAACUACGUG
Molecule: ribosomal RNA, 497 nt
Filed under: uncultured bacterium
Lineage: Bacteria
Description: partial 16S ribosomal RNA
Rfam family: Bacterial small subunit ribosomal RNA
Source: RNAcentral